Molecule: microRNA precursor, 58 nt
Filed under: Limulus polyphemus (Atlantic horseshoe crab)
Lineage: Eukaryota; Metazoa; Arthropoda; Merostomata; Xiphosura; Limulidae
Description: Lpo-Mir-137-P19_pre stem-loop
Source: RNAcentral
GUGUGUUCUUAAGCUAAUGACACUUAAUCCGUAGCUGUUAUUGCUUGAGAAUACACGU